GGAAUCGCUAGUAAUCGCAGAUCAGCAUGCUGCGGUGAAUACGUUCCCGGGUCUUGUACACACCGCCCGUCACACCAUGGGAGCCGGGAAUGCCCGAAGUCAGCGGCCCAACCGAAAGGAGGGAGCUGCCGAAGGCAGGCCUGGUGACUGGGGUGAAGUCGUAACAAGGUAUC
This 173-nucleotide ribosomal RNA is filed under the name uncultured bacterium. Its description in RNAcentral is "partial 16S ribosomal RNA". It matches the Rfam family "Bacterial small subunit ribosomal RNA", at positions 1328 to 1500 of the family's 1533-position model. The record is from RNAcentral.